CCUACGGGAGGCAGCAGUGGGGAAUUUUGGACAAUGGGCGAAAGCCUGAUCCAGCAAUGCCGCGUGAGUGAAGAAGGCCUUCGGGUUGUAAAGCUCUUUUGUCAGGGAAGAAACGGUGUGGGCUAAUAUCCUGCACUAAUGACGGUACCUGAAGAAUAAGCACCGGCUAACUACGUGCCAGCAGCCGCGGUAAUACGUAGGGUGCAAGCGUUAAUCGGAAUUACUGGGCGUAAAGCGUGCGCAGGCGGUUUUGUAAGUCUGUCGUGAAAUCCCCGGGCUCAACCUGGGAAUUGCGAUGGAGACUGCAAGGCUAGAAUCUGGCAGAGGGGGGUAGAAUUCCACGUGUAGCAGUGAAAUGCGUAGAGAUGUGGAGGAACACCGAUGGCGAAGGCAGCCCCCUGGGUCAAGAUUGACGCUCAUGCACGAAAGCGUGGGGAGCAAACAGGAUUAGAUACCCUGGUAGUCCACGCCCUAAACGAUGUCUACUAGUUGUCGGGUUUUAAUAACUUGGUAACGCAGCUAACGCGUGAAGUAGGCCGCCUGGGGAGGUACGGUCGCGAGAGUUAAACGUUACGUAAGAAGUUAGAGGNGNGNGAGNGCGAGGACGACGACGAGGAGGAGG
RNAcentral lists this ribosomal RNA (622 nucleotides) under uncultured bacterium. RNAcentral's name for it is "bacterial SSU rRNA". The stretch from base 1 to 541 matches the Rfam family "Bacterial small subunit ribosomal RNA", at positions 338 to 873 of the family's 1533-position model. The record is from RNAcentral.